Molecule: transfer RNA, 72 nt
Filed under: Placozoa sp. H9 HM-2017
Lineage: Eukaryota; Metazoa; Placozoa
Description: tRNA-His
Rfam family: tRNA
About the family: Transfer RNA (tRNA) molecules are approximately 80 nucleotides in length. Their secondary structure includes four short double-helical elements and three loops (D, anti-codon, and T loops). Further hydrogen bonds mediate the characteristic L-shaped molecular structure. tRNAs have two regions of fundamental functional importance: the anti-codon, which is responsible for specific mRNA codon recognition, and the 3' end, to which the tRNAs corresponding amino acid is attached (by aminoacyl-tRNA synthetases). tRNAs cope with the degeneracy of the genetic code in two manners: having more than one tRNA (with a specific anti-codon) for a particular amino acid; and 'wobble' base-pairing, i.e. permitting non-standard base-pairing at the 3rd anti-codon position.
Source: RNAcentral
GUGAAAGUAGUUUAAUGGCAGAACUACAGUCUGUGGCUUUGUUCGUGGGAGUUCGAUUCUCUCCUUUCACAA